GACGAACGCUGGCGGCGUGCUUAACACAUGCAAGUCGAACGGUGAAAGCGGAGCUUGCUCCGCUGGAUCAGUGGCGAACGGGUGAGUAACACGUGGGCAACCUGCCCCUCACUUCGGGAUAACUCCGGGAAACCGGGGCUAAUACCGGAUAUGACCUCCUUGGGCAUCCUUGGAGGUGGAAAGUUUUUCGGUGAGGGAUGGGCCCGCGGCCUAUCAGCUUGUUGGUGAGGUAGUGGCUCACCAAGGGGACGACGGGUAGUCGGCCUGAGAGGGUGACCGGCCACACUGGGACUGAGAUACGGCCCAGACUCCUACGGGAGGCAGCAGUGGGGAAUAUUGCACAAUGGGCGCAAGCCUGAUGCAGCGACGCCGCGUGAGGGAUGACGGCCUUCGGGUUGUAAACCUCUUUCAGCACCGACGAAGCGCAAGUGACGGUAGGUGCAGAAGAAGGACCGGCCAACUACGUGCCAGCCGCCGCAGUAA
This 483-nucleotide ribosomal RNA is filed under the name uncultured bacterium. RNAcentral describes it as "partial 16S ribosomal RNA". It matches the Rfam family "Bacterial small subunit ribosomal RNA", at positions 28 to 523 of the family's 1533-position model. The record is from RNAcentral.